RNAcentral lists this ribosomal RNA (468 nucleotides) under uncultured bacterium. Its description in RNAcentral is "partial 16S ribosomal RNA". It matches the Rfam family "Bacterial small subunit ribosomal RNA", at positions 28 to 507 of the family's 1533-position model. The record is from RNAcentral.
GACGAACGCUGGCGGCGUGCUUAACACAUGCAAGUCGAACGGAAAUGCCCUGCUUUUGUGGGGUUCUCGAGUGGCGAACGGGUGAGUAACACGUGAGUAACCUGCCCUUGACUUUGGGAUAACUUCAGGAAACUGGGGCUAAUACCCGAUAGGACCUCCUGCUUCAUGGUGGGGGUUGGACAGUUUCGGCGGUUGGGGAUGGACUCGCGGCUUAUCAGCUUGUUGGUGGGGUAGUGGCUUACCAAGGCUUUGACGGGUAGCCGGCCUGAGAGGGUGACCGGCGACAUUGGGACUGAGAUACGGCCCAGACUCCUACGGGAGGCAGCAGUGGGGAAUAUUGCACAAUGGGCGGAAGCCUGAUGCAGCAACGACGCGGGCGAGAUGACGGCCUUCGGGGUGUAAACCGCUUUCGCCUGUGACGAAGCGUGAGUGACGGUAAUGGGUAAAGAAGCACCGGCUAACUACGUG